GUUUAGAUUAUUGCCAAUCGGCUUCUUUUGGUUCCAAUUUAUUUGUAAGAAACACCACGAUGUGUUGGUGACAUAAUUGUAAAGCUUUUAUUUGUUAUUAGGUGAUAUUAGUGAAGGCAUUGGAGAUUUGUGCUUGUUCUUCUCCAGUUGCCACAUUCUUGUUAGUUUACCCCAACUCAUUCCUUGGUUAGAGAGAAGUGUGAAUUAAAAC
This 211-nucleotide unclassified non-coding RNA is filed under the name Hevea brasiliensis (rubber tree). Lineage: Eukaryota; Viridiplantae; Streptophyta; Magnoliopsida; Malpighiales; Euphorbiaceae. The record is from RNAcentral.